CCCGUCACACCAUGAGAGUUGAUUGCACCAGAAGCAGAUAGCCUGACCGCAAGGGGGGCGCCUACCACGGUGUGGUCAAUGACUGGGGUG
This 90-nucleotide ribosomal RNA is filed under the name uncultured bacterium. Its description in RNAcentral is "partial 16S ribosomal RNA". The record is from RNAcentral.